AGAGUUUGAUCCUGGCUCAGGAUGAACGCUAGCGGCGUGCCUAAUGCAUGCAAGUCGAACGGGAUCCUUUGGACUCGUCUGAAGGUGAGAGUGGCGAACGGGUGAGUAACACGUUGGUGACCUACCCCAGAGAGGGGGAUAACCAUUGGAAACGAUGGCUAAUACCCCGGAUGUCAUUACUGUUAGAGGGUAAUGACUAAAGCUCCGGCGCUCUGGGAGGGGCCUGCGGCCCAUCAGCUAGUUGGCAGGGUAAUGGCCUACCAAGGCAAAGACGGGUAGGGGGCGUGAGAGCGUGACCCCCCACACUGGUACUGACACACGGACCAGAUACCUACGGGUAGCAGCAGCAAGGAAUAUUGCCCAAUGGACGCAAGUCUGAGGCAGCAACGCCGCGUGGAGGAUGAAGGCCUUCGGGUCGUAAACUCCUUUUCUGGGGGAAGAGAAAGGACGGUACCCCAGGAAUAAGUCUCGGCUAACUACGUGCCAGCAGCCGCGGUAAAACGUAGGAGGCGAGCGUUAUCCGGAUUUACUGGGCGUAAA
RNAcentral lists this ribosomal RNA (540 nucleotides) under uncultured bacterium. RNAcentral's name for it is "bacterial SSU rRNA". It matches the Rfam family "Bacterial small subunit ribosomal RNA", at positions 8 to 564 of the family's 1533-position model. The record is from RNAcentral.